GUCAGGAUGGCCGAGCGGUCUAAGGCGCCAGACUCAAGCAGUUGCUUGCCAAACUAAAACUUGGUAAACAGGAAUUCUGGUCUUCGAUAGAAGGCGUGGGUUCAAAUCCCACUUCUGACA
RNAcentral lists this transfer RNA (120 nucleotides) under Daphnia pulex (common water flea). It matches the Rfam family "tRNA". Rfam says of the family: Transfer RNA (tRNA) molecules are approximately 80 nucleotides in length. The record is from Rfam by way of RNAcentral. Lineage: Eukaryota; Metazoa; Arthropoda; Branchiopoda; Diplostraca; Daphniidae.